Non-coding RNA from Bos taurus (domestic cattle), 73 nucleotides. The record is from Rfam. Lineage: Eukaryota; Metazoa; Chordata; Mammalia; Artiodactyla; Bovidae.
UCCCUGGUGGUCCAGUGGUUAAGACUCUGUUCUUCCAAUGCAGGGGGCCUGGGUUUGAUCCCUGGUAAGGGAA